This 604-nucleotide ribosomal RNA is filed under the name Cymothoa sp. RNAcentral describes it as "SSU rRNA". It matches the Rfam family "Eukaryotic small subunit ribosomal RNA", at positions 74 to 649 of the family's 1831-position model. The record is from RNAcentral. Lineage: Eukaryota; Metazoa; Arthropoda; Malacostraca; Isopoda; Cymothoidae.
UUGAUUGCCGAAACCGCGGAUAGCUCAUUAUAUCUGUUGUAAUCCGCAAGACUUUCCGAGGUUUUCUCUAACGGAUACCUAUAGCAAAUCUAGAGCUAAUACGCAUUCAAUGUUCGCUACGAACCUACCCCUUACAUUAAAAUAAUAAGGUAGGUCGAGCGAACAGCACUUAUUAGAGCCAUGAGCCAGCACAUGGUGAUUCUGGAUAUUUUGUUGCUAAGCGAUAUGGUCUCGUACCAUCGCUAGUCUUUGCGAGCUUCUGACCUAUCAGCCAGAUAGUUAGAUAUAGGCUAACAAUGGCUUUGACGGGUAACGGGGAAUCUGGGUUCGAUUCCGGAGAGGGAGCCUGAUAAACGGCUACCACAUCUAAGGAAGGCAGCAGGCGCGGAACUUAACCAAAUACUAGCUCUGUGAGUUAGUGACGAAACAUCUUAAUGUGAGGUUCUUAACCGAGCCUUACAAUUGAAAUGAGUUUAUUGUAAAGUCUUAUUACGACAAACUACCGGAGGGCAAGCCUGGUGCCAGCAGCCGCGGUAAUUCCAGCUCCAUUAGCGUAAUCUAAUAUUGCUGCGGUUAAAGUGUUCGUAGUUGGCUUUUAUAGUCU